This 264-nucleotide ribosomal RNA is filed under the name uncultured Streptococcus sp. RNAcentral's name for it is "partial 16S ribosomal RNA". It matches the Rfam family "Bacterial small subunit ribosomal RNA", at positions 1119 to 1382 of the family's 1533-position model. The record is from RNAcentral. Lineage: Bacteria; Bacillati; Bacillota; Bacilli; Lactobacillales; Streptococcaceae.
CCAUCAUUCAGUUGGGCGACUCUAGCGAGACUGCGGUAAUAAACCGGAGGAAGGUGGGGAGUGACGUCAAAUCAUCAUGCCCCUUAUGACCUGGGCUACACACGUGCUACAAUGGUUGGUACAACGAGUUGCGAGUCGGUGACGGCGAGCUAAUCUCUUAAAGCCAAUCUCAGUUCGGAUUGUAGGCUGCAACUCGCCUACAUGAAGUCGGAAUCGCUAGUAAUCGCGGAUCAGCACGCCGCGGUGAAUACGUUCCCGGGCCUU